UUGACCUCGGAUCAGGUAGGGAUACCCGCUGAACUUAAGCAUAUCAUAGGCGGGGGAGGGA
This 61-nucleotide ribosomal RNA is filed under the name Bipolaris zeicola. RNAcentral describes it as "partial 28S ribosomal RNA". The record is from RNAcentral. Lineage: Eukaryota; Fungi; Ascomycota; Dothideomycetes; Pleosporales; Pleosporaceae.